GAUGAACGCUAGCGGCAGGCUUAACACAUGCAAGUCGAGGGGUAACAUUGCUGCUUGCAGCAGAUGACGACCGGCGCACGGGUGAGUAACGCGUAUGCAACCUACCUUUUACAGGUAGAUAGCUUUCGGAAACGGAAAUUAAUACACCAUAGUCCAUAUAAAUUGCAUGAUUAAUAUGGUAAAGCUUUCGGGUGGUAAAAGAUGGGCAUGCGUGCCAUUAGUUAGUUGGUAAGGUAACGGCUUACCAAGACGAUGAUGGUUAGGGGUUCUAAAAGGAUUAUCCCCCACACUGGUACUGAGACACGGACCAGACUCCUACGGGAGGCAGCAGUGAGGAAUAUUGGUCAAUGGGCGCAAGCCUGAACCAGCCAUGCCGCGUGCAGGAAGAAUGUCUUAUGGAUUGUAAACUGCUUUUAUACAGGAAGAAUAGGCUUUUACGUGUAAAGUUUUGACGGUACUGUACGAAUAAGCACCGGCUAACUCCGUGCCAACAGCCGCGGUAAUACGGAGGGUGCAAGCGUUAUCCGGAUUUAUUAGGUUUAAAGGGUGGUGUAGGCGGAUUGGUAAGUCAGUGGUGAAAUUUCGGAGCUUAACUUCGGCACUGCCAUUGAUACUGUCAAUCUUGAGUUUAGAUGAAGUAGGCGGAAUGUGUAAUGUAGCGGUGAAAUGCUUAGAUAUUACCCAGAACACCGAUUGCGAAGGCAGCUUACUAAUCUUAGACUGACGCUGAUGCACGAAAGCGUGGGUAGCGAACAGGAUUAGAUACCCUGGUAGUCCACGCCGUAAACGAUGAUUACUCGUUGUUGGCGAUAGACAGUCAGCGACUGAGCGAAAGCAUUAAGUAAUCCACCUGGGGAGUACGUUGGCAACAAUGAAACUCAAAGGAAUUGACGGGGGCCCGCACAAGCGGAGGAACAUGUGGUUUAAUUCGAUGAUACGCGAGGAACCUUACCUGGGCUUAAAUGUAUAUUGCAUUAUAAAGAGAUUUAUAUUCCCUUCGGGGCUAUUUACAAGGUGCUGCAUGGCUGUCGUCAGCUCGUGCCGUGAGGUGUCGGGUUAAGUCCCAUAACGAGCGCAACCCCUAUCGUUAGUUGCCAGCAAGUGGUGUUGGGGACUCUAGCGAGACUGCCACCGUAAGGUGAGAGGAAGGUGGGGAUGACGUCAAGUCAGCACGGCCCUUAUGUCCAGGGCUACACACGUGUUACAAUGGUCGGCACAAAGGGCAGCUACUUGGUGACAAGAUGCUAAUCUCGAAAACCGAUCUCAGUUCGGAUCGAAGUCUGCAACUCGACUUCGUGAAGUUGGAUUCGCUAGUAAUCGUAUAUCAGCCAUGAUACGGUGAAUACGUUCCCGGGCCU
This 1358-nucleotide ribosomal RNA is filed under the name uncultured bacterium. RNAcentral describes it as "bacterial SSU rRNA". It matches the Rfam family "Bacterial small subunit ribosomal RNA", at positions 28 to 1381 of the family's 1533-position model. The record is from RNAcentral.